AAAAUUUUGGAUGUUCAGCUCAUUUUCAGUGAGAACACAAUUAAGAGAAACUUCCUAAUCCUUCAAAAUGAAAAUGAAGAUAAAUCAUUUCCCAUCAACGCUGUGCUAUAUAUUGGCUAUUGCAUUCCCAAGGAAUCUGGUGUUCUGAGUUUGUUCUGACCUUGUCUUCUCUUCAGCCGAGCAUUAUCUCCACAGAAAUAUUUGGAGGGAGGAGUCUUUUCUAACAUUAGUUGCUCAGAAGGUUUUAUGGUACCGUACGCUACCAUGCCAUGCACCAAAAUAAAGGUGUAACUACCAACAAGCACUCACGAGCAUGUGGCAUUCAGGAUUCAGAAAUGGAAAGAAGGAAACCCAGCGACGACUUCUGUUGUGAACUGCCUGUGGGAGGCAAGACUGGUGGCUGAAUGCAGACAUAAAACUGUUCUCAGGUGGGAAUUCUCAUUCCUUUUAGAGUGUUUGAAUCUUUCAAUUAGAACAUUUCACA
This 484-nucleotide long non-coding RNA is filed under the name Gallus gallus (chicken). RNAcentral's name for it is "lncRNA (ENSGALG00010026970.1)". Lineage: Eukaryota; Metazoa; Chordata; Aves; Galliformes; Phasianidae. The record is from RNAcentral.